AACGAACGCUGGCGGCAUGCCUAACACAUGCAAGUCGAACGAGAUCUUCGGGUCUAGUGGCGCACGGGUGCGUAACGCGUGGGAAUCUGCCCUUUGGUUCGGAAUCACAGUUGGAAACGACUGCUAAUACCGGAUGAUGACGAAAGUCCAAAGAUUUAUCGCCAGAGGAUGAGCCCGCGUAGGAUUAGCUAGUUGGUGUGGUAAAGGCGCACCAAGGCGACGAUCCUUAGCUGGUCUGAGAGGAUGAUCAGCCACACUGGGACUGAGACACGGCCCAGACUCCUACGGGAGGCAGCAGUGGGGAAUAUUGGACAAUGGGCGAAAGCCUGAUCCAGCAAUGCCGCGUGAGUGAUGAAGGCCUUAGGGUUGUACAGCUCUUUUACCCGGGAUGAUAAUGACAGUACCGGAAGAAUAAGCUCCGGCUAACUCCGUGCCAGCAGCCGCCGUAA
RNAcentral lists this ribosomal RNA (449 nucleotides) under uncultured bacterium. RNAcentral's name for it is "partial 16S ribosomal RNA". It matches the Rfam family "Bacterial small subunit ribosomal RNA", at positions 29 to 523 of the family's 1533-position model. The record is from RNAcentral.